UACAGAGGUGGCAAGCGUUGUUCGGAUUUAUUGGGCGUAAAGGGUCCGUAGGCGGUCCGGAAAGUCAGAUGUGAAAUCCCACAGCUCAACUGUGGAACUGCAUUUGAAACUUCCGGACUUGAGUGUGAGAGGGGUGAAGGGAAUUCCCGGUGUAAGGGUGAAAUCUGCAGAGAUCGGGAGGAACACCAGUCGCGAAGGCGCUUCACUGGCUCACUACUGACGCUCAGGGACGAAAGCUAGGGUAGCAAACGGG
RNAcentral lists this ribosomal RNA (253 nucleotides) under uncultured bacterium. Its description in RNAcentral is "partial 16S ribosomal RNA". It matches the Rfam family "Bacterial small subunit ribosomal RNA", at positions 524 to 776 of the family's 1533-position model. The record is from RNAcentral.